This 427-nucleotide ribosomal RNA is filed under the name uncultured bacterium. RNAcentral's name for it is "partial 16S ribosomal RNA". It matches the Rfam family "Bacterial small subunit ribosomal RNA", at positions 355 to 774 of the family's 1533-position model. The record is from RNAcentral.
UGGGGAAUAUUGCACAAUGGGCGCAAGCCUGAUGCAGCCAUGCCGCGUGUAUGAAGAAGGCCUUCGGGUUGUAAAGUACUUUCAGCGGGGAGGAAGGCGAUAAGGUUAAUAACCUUGUCGAUUGACGUUACCCGCAGAAGAAGCACCGGCUAACUCCGUGCCAGCAGCCGCGGUAAUACGGAGGGUGCAAGGGUUAAUCGGAAUUACUGGGCGUAAAGCGCACGCAGGCGGUCUGUCAAGUCGGAUGUGAAAUCCCCGGGCUCAACCUGGGAACUGCAUCCGAAACUGGCAGGCUAGAGUCUUGUAGAGGGGGGUAGAAUUCCAGGUGUAGCGGUGAAAUGCGUAGAGAUCUGGAGGAAUACCGGUGGCGAAGGCGGCCCCCUGGACAAAGACUGACGCUCAGGUGCGAAAGCGUGGGGAGCAAACA